GAUGAACGCUGGCGGAGUGCCUAAUACAUGCAAGUCGAGCGGCAGCACGAGUAGUUUACUACUUGGUGGCGAGCGGCGGACGGCUGAGUAACGCGUGGGAACGUGCCCCAAAGUGAGGAAUAAGCUCCAGAAAUGGAGUCUAAUGCCGCAUAUGAUCUUCGGAUUAAAGUAUUUAUACGCUUUGGGAGCGGCCCGCGUCCGAUUAGAUAGUUGGUGAGGUAAAGGCUCACCAAGUCUACGAUCGGUAACUGGUCUGAGAGGAUGAUCAGUCAGACUGGAACUGAGACACGGUCCAGACUCCUACGGGAGGCAGCAGUAAGGAAUCUUCCACAAUGGACGAAAGUCUGAUGGAGCAACUCCGCGCGCAGGACGAAGGCCUUCGGGUUGUAAACUGCUUUUAUGAGUGAAGAAUAUGACGGUAACUCAUGAAUAAGGGUCGGCUAACUACGUGC
This 452-nucleotide ribosomal RNA is filed under the name uncultured Candidatus Saccharibacteria bacterium. RNAcentral describes it as "bacterial SSU rRNA". It matches the Rfam family "Bacterial small subunit ribosomal RNA", at positions 28 to 508 of the family's 1533-position model. Lineage: Bacteria; Candidatus Saccharimonadota. The record is from RNAcentral.